This 392-nucleotide ribosomal RNA is filed under the name uncultured soil bacterium. RNAcentral describes it as "bacterial SSU rRNA". It matches the Rfam family "Bacterial small subunit ribosomal RNA", at positions 26 to 409 of the family's 1533-position model. The record is from RNAcentral.
AGGAUGAACGCUGGCGGCGUGCUUAACACAUGCAAGUCGAACGAUGAAGGCUGGAGCUUGCUCUGGCUGGAUUAGUGGCGAACGGGUGAGUAACACGUGAGUAACCUGCCCCAGACUCUGGGAUAAGCGCUGGAAACGGCGUCUAAUACCGGAUACGAGCUUCCACCGCAUGGUGAGGAGCCGGAAAGAAUUUCGGUCUGGGAUGGACUCGCGCUAUCAGCUUGUGUGAGGUAAUGGCUCACCGAAGGCGACGAUCCGUAACUGGUCUGAGAGGAUGAUCAGUCACACUGGAACUGAGACACGGUCCAGACUCCGUACGGGAGGCAGCAGGUGGGGAAUUAGUUGGACAAGUGGGACGAAAGCCUAGAUCCAGCCAUCGCCGCGUGUGUAGG